Molecule: ribosomal RNA, 236 nt
Filed under: uncultured bacterium
Lineage: Bacteria
Description: partial 16S ribosomal RNA
Rfam family: Bacterial small subunit ribosomal RNA
Source: RNAcentral
CGGGACGGGUGAGUAACGCGUGGAUAACCUGCCUCACACUGGGGGAUAACAGUUAGAAAUGGCUGCUAAUACCGCAUAAGCGCACAGUACCGCAUGGUACGGUGUGAAAAACCCAGGUGGUGUGAGAUGGAUCCGCGCCUGAUUAGCCAGUUGGCGGGGUAACGGCCCACCAAAGCGACGAUCAGUAGCCGACCUGAGAGGGUGACCGGCCACAUUGGGACUGAGACACGGCCCAA